CCUGGUGGCUAAGUGGUAAAGAAUCUGCCUGCAAUGCAGGAGACCCAGGUUCGAUCUCUGGGUCAGGA
Molecule: transfer RNA, 68 nt
Filed under: Bos taurus (domestic cattle)
Lineage: Eukaryota; Metazoa; Chordata; Mammalia; Artiodactyla; Bovidae
Also listed under: 5 other names
Rfam family: tRNA
About the family: Transfer RNA (tRNA) molecules are approximately 80 nucleotides in length. Their secondary structure includes four short double-helical elements and three loops (D, anti-codon, and T loops).
Source: Rfam by way of RNAcentral